UAACUAGUUUAGCAUACUUGAAGAAUGAGUCAUCACCUUCAUAACCGGAAAAUCAAGCAGUUCAUGAGAAGAAUCAAACAGUAGAAUAUACUUUGGGUACUACCUUCGAUAAUUCACAAGAGAGUGGCAACCCUUACACAUCCUUGAAUUCUUCCCUGUUAGGCUGAUAACAGUAGCCCCUCUCCGCCUCUCGUCGUGUUAAUCAGUGGUCAAAAGAAGAGAACAUUGCCAGCUUGUCACUGUGCUGCGAGAUGCAGACUUGACGGUAAGACUAAUUGACUCCUUGAGCUGCAGGAUCGUGUC
RNAcentral lists this long non-coding RNA (303 nucleotides) under Panicum hallii. RNAcentral describes it as "long non-coding RNA (PHAL_LNC000161)". Lineage: Eukaryota; Viridiplantae; Streptophyta; Magnoliopsida; Poales; Poaceae. The record is from RNAcentral.